CAAAAGUAGCAAUUACCUUUGC
This 22-nucleotide microRNA is filed under the name Macaca mulatta (Rhesus monkey). Its description in RNAcentral is "mml-miR-570". Its record names the gene mml-miR-570. The record is from miRBase by way of RNAcentral. Lineage: Eukaryota; Metazoa; Chordata; Mammalia; Primates; Cercopithecidae.